UUCAAAGAUCUAGGUAUCUUGCCCUAGUUCAACGCUCUGAUACCACUGAAAGGGGGCCAAAAAACCCCCCACAAUAAGUUGCAAGAUACAAUCGAUCACAAUAACAGAAAUUAAACUUGCAAAAAGUAAAGAACACAACAAGAUUUUUCGACCGAAGCCUAGAGGUUCAGUGACUAGCACCUAGUCCCCUGUUGAGCAUCCAAUCGAAGUGGAUAUUGCUCGGUUGCACUAAAGCCCCAAAAACAGGCAAUCGAAGGUUACAAAGUUCAACCACUACAAGAAUACACAAGAAAGAGACUUAUCUCUUCGAAGGAACCACAAAUCUACCUCAGACUCACAACGAAUCAACAGAAACAUCCCUAACCUCAACACAUGAGGACUCUAAGUAUCACUCAAGAAUAUACCAGUAUUCAGUGGUUAACAGCCUUCCAAAAUACACAUCGAAUGAGAUGAUCGAUUACAGAAAAUAGGGAAAACAGAAAACCCUAACUCGAGAGAACAGAAGAUCACUCAAGAGUCAGAUGGAAUGAAAAGUCUCACAGCCAAAUGAAUCGUCA
Molecule: long non-coding RNA, 557 nt
Filed under: Olea europaea subsp. europaea
Lineage: Eukaryota; Viridiplantae; Streptophyta; Magnoliopsida; Lamiales; Oleaceae
Source: RNAcentral